UAAUUUAAAGUCUAACCUGCCCAAUGAUAAUAUUUAAUGGCCGCGGUAUUUUGACCGUGCUAAGGUAGCAUAAUCAAUAGUUUUUUAAUUGAAAGCUGGAAUGAAGGGUUGAAUAAAAAAAUAACUGUCUUUAUUUAAUUUAAUUAGAAUUUUAUUUUUAAGUUAAAAAGCUUAAAUUUUAUUAGAAGACGAGAAGACCCUAUAGAGUUUUAUAAGUAACUGGAUUAUUAUAUUUAGAAUUAAUUUUAUUAGUUUAAUUAUUUAUUUAAUUGGGGUGAUUAAAAAAUUAAUUUAACUUUUUUUGUACAUUUACAUAUAUAAAUGAAUAUUUGAUCCAUUUAUAGUGAUUAUAAGAUAAAAUUACCUUAGGGAUAACAGCGUUAUUUUUUUUUAGAGUUCAAAUCGAAAAAAAAGAUUGCGACCUCGAUGUUGGAUUAAAAUUAAUUUUUGGUGUAGAAGCUAAAAUAUUAGGUCUGUUCGACCUUUAAAAUUUUACAU
Molecule: ribosomal RNA, 498 nt
Filed under: Chrysomela populi
Lineage: Eukaryota; Metazoa; Arthropoda; Insecta; Coleoptera; Chrysomelidae
Description: partial 16S ribosomal RNA
Rfam family: Bacterial large subunit ribosomal RNA
Source: RNAcentral